This 370-nucleotide ribosomal RNA is filed under the name uncultured bacterium. RNAcentral describes it as "bacterial SSU rRNA". The stretch from base 14 to 316 matches the Rfam family "Bacterial small subunit ribosomal RNA", at positions 57 to 352 of the family's 1533-position model. The record is from RNAcentral.
CGGCCGCGUCGACGCAAGUCGAGGGGCAGCAUGAACUUAGCUUGCUAAGUUUGAUGGCGACCGGCGCACGGGUGAGUAACGCGUAUGCAACUUACCUAUCAGAGGAGAAUAGCUCAUCGAAAGAUGAAUUAAUGCUCCAUAAAACAGGGGUCCGCAUGGGAAUAUUUGUUAAAGAUUCAUCGCUGAUAGAUAGGCAUGCGUUCCAUUAGGCAGUUGGCGGGGUAACGGCCCACAAACCGACGAUGGAUAGGGGUUCUGAGAGGAAGGUCCCCCACAUUGGUACUGAGACACGGACCAAACUCCUACGGGAGGCAGCAGUGAGGUCGACGCGGCCGAGGUCGUGGGAGGCAAGGGCACACAGGGGGAUAGG